AAGUGAACAACUAACAAGAGUCGGAAAGCAAAUUAAAAAAUUUAAAACAACACAAGCAAAAAUUAAUGGAGAAUGUAUAGUUUUUUAAUAAGAAAGCCUGCAGCCAAUAAUGAUAGUAAUGAAUUAUCAUCUGAAAGCGGCGAUGAAAGCUGUGGAGCUACAAAAAAUCCCAAAAGAAACUUCCGCACAGUCUGGCUGGAUGAAUUUGCAUGGCUUCGAAACAGAGAUGGGUGUGGCUUUUGUGUAGCAUGUGAUAAAAAGCUUAACAAUCAUGUGAGUUAUUUAAGAAUACAUGGAUCUUUACGCAUUCACAUUCUAAAUGUUGAGAGGAAAAAAAAUCAAAUUAAAAUAAAUACCUUUGGAAAUCCUCAAAAAGUAAGCAAGUUCAUCAUGCGGAACUCGCAUUAGUAAUGUUUUUAGUCGACCACAACUUACCAUUUUUACUAAUGGACUAUUUACCCAGUUUGUUGGUAGAAUGCUGUCCCGACUCAAAAAUUGCAAGGUCAGUAAAAUGUGGCAGAUCAAAAUCAACACAGCUAACAGAAACGUUAGCAAAUAAAGCUAAAAAUGACAUUAUCUCCAAAAUAAAAGCUACAAAAUUUUCAUUAAUAGUAGAUGAAACGACGGACGUAUCUACAAAAAAGUCACUGGUUUUAGUUGUAAGAUACAUGGACAAACUUUCGCGAAAUAUUCAUGACAGAUUUUUAGCACUUAUAGAAGUUAAAAACUCAGACACCAAAUCUUUAUAUGCCACUAUAAAAGAUUUUUUAAAAAGCCACGACAUACCUCUACAAAAUGUUAUUGGUUUAGCAACCGAUGGAGCCAACGUAAUGGCAGGAGAAGCUAAUGGGUUGCAAGCUAAAUUUAAAGAUGAUGUCGAAAUAUUUUUCAUAAAGUGCACUUGUCAUUCACUACAUCUUUGUUCAGCAUAUGCUUGCAAAAAGCUUCCUACAACGAUUGAAACAUUGUGCCGAAAUAUUUAUAACCUUUUCUCACAUAGUCCGAAACGAAUUCAAGAAUUUAAGGAAUUCCAGGACUAUUGCCACGUCGAACCACAUAAAAUAUUAGGGAUUUCCAUGACCCGUUGGCUGGCACUAGAAACGGUUAUUAAUCGUAUUAUUGAACAGUGGUCAGCUCUGAAAUUAUAUUUCAUAUCGUUUUAUUUGGAAGUAAAUGGAAUAAAGGAGUGCGAGAUUGGAGAUGUAAUGGGUGACCCUUGCAUAAAAGUAUAUUUUUUGUUUCUAUCCUAUAUUUUAAAUAUAAUAAAUAAUUUGAACAAAGAGUUUCAAUCGGAAAGAGUGAGGCUACCGUAUGUUUACUGUCAACUGGAAUUAAAUUUUAAAUUAAUUUUGAGCAACUUUACUAAAUGCGCUUUUGUAAAAAGUUUAGAUACAUUAGAGUCAGUAAAUUUGUUAGACGAAAGUAAUUACUUGAAUAUAGAAAAUAUUUUUAUAGGCAGAAAAGCUGAGCUAUGUUUGCAAGAAUCAGAAUUAUCGGAUGUAAAAAAAUAUGAAAUUAAAAAAAAUAUUCAAUCAUUUUAUUUAGAAAUUUUAAGUGAAAUUGCAAAACGUUUUGAUUUUUCAAGAAAAGACUUAAAACAUCUUUCUACAAUAACACCACACAAUGUUUUAAAAUCAACAGAAAUUUCAAUUGAACCACUAUUAACAUGUUUUCCAAAUUUAACCAACGGCAACGAAGAAAAAAUUUCAACACAAUGGAAAUUAUUAAGAUUUUCUAACAUUGGCCUCAAAAGUGACAUGGAUAUAGCGAGUUUUGGAACAAAGUCCUAAGCUAUAAAAAUGGAAUGGAAGAAAAUUGUUUUGAAGAAUUAGUUGAUUUUGUAUUUAAUGUAAUGUCAUUGCCACAUAGCUCAGCAGCUGCUGAAAGAAAAUUUUCUCAGCUAAAUUUAAUAAAAACUAAAUUUCGCAAUAAACUUGAUUUUAAAACAAUUAAUAACAUAAUGCAGUCAAAAGAAUUGCUCCAAAAUAAAAAUGAUCCGCAUUAUGUAUGGUCUGCCAAAGGCAUGCCUGAAAUUUUAAAUAAUUUUCUGAAAUUUUAAAUAAUUUUCAGUUACACAAAAAAUAAAACAGAAAAAAUAGUUUUUGAAAUUAAAUAUGCAUAAAUUGAUAAUUAUACCAAAAUUAAAUCUGUUAUCAAAAAUAUAUUAUUAACCGAUUUUGUUUCUAUAUUAUCUUAAUAUUUUAUAAAU
This is a long non-coding RNA of Calliphora vicina (urban bluebottle blowfly), 2209 nucleotides long. RefSeq lists it as uncharacterized. NCBI's taxonomy places the organism in Eukaryota, Metazoa, Arthropoda, Insecta, Diptera, Calliphoridae. The record is from RefSeq and is a predicted model, not a curated record. The transcript is spliced from 3 exons.